UACGAAGGGGGCUAGCGUUGCUCGGAAUGACUGGGCGUAAAGGGCGCGUAGGCGGUGCGGAUAGUCAGAUGUGAAAUUCCUGGGCUUAACCUGGGGACUGCAUUUGAUACGUCCGCGCUUGAGUGUGGAAGAGGGUCGUGGAAUUCCCAGUGUAGAGGUGAAAUUCGUAGAUAUUGGGAAGAACACCGGUGGCGAAGGCGGCGACCUGGUCCAUAACUGACGCUGAGGCGCGAAAGCGUGGGGAGCAAACAGG
RNAcentral lists this ribosomal RNA (253 nucleotides) under uncultured bacterium. RNAcentral describes it as "partial 16S ribosomal RNA". It matches the Rfam family "Bacterial small subunit ribosomal RNA", at positions 524 to 776 of the family's 1533-position model. The record is from RNAcentral.